Long non-coding RNA from Suricata suricatta (meerkat), 424 nucleotides. RefSeq lists it as uncharacterized. The record is from RefSeq and is a predicted model, not a curated record. NCBI's taxonomy places the organism in Eukaryota, Metazoa, Chordata, Mammalia, Carnivora, Herpestidae. The transcript is spliced from 3 exons.
CACUGCCCAGCCCACUGUGAACACUCCAAAACUAUCUGUCAAAGGCCAGCUACUUCCCUAGCCUCGAAGAUCAUCUCUCUGAAAAAUCUUUCUGUAAUUCAGACCAGUGGAGGAAGUGAGGCUCCCUCUGCCCACAGCAAGGAAGUUGGAGGCUGCUCAGACCCUGUUCUGCACAGUACUCUUAACACAGGAAGAAAAGAUGGGACAUCCUGCUCCAUUGUCUCCUCCAAGCCCCCUACAGCUCCUACCUGGAAUUCUGUGAAAACUGCCUAACAAGCCUCUACUCUGUCCUGUAUAAUCCAUAUCUAUGGAGAAGCCAGAACAGCCUUUUAAGAACCAAGGUCUGAUCAUGUGCUGCUCAAGCACACUUCCACUGGUGGCCCGUUGUAUCUAGAAUGAAAUCCCUGCUUUGUCCUAUGGCCAA